AGAGUUUGAUUCUGGCUCAGAACGAACGCUGGCGGCAGGCUUAACACAUGCAAGUCGAACGCGUGUAGCAAUACACGAGUGGCGCACGGGUGAGUAACGCGUGGAUAUCUGCCUUCUGGUUCGGAAUAACCCCGGGAAACUGGGGCUAAUACCGAAUGGUUCCUACGGGAUAAAGAUUUAUCGCCAGAAGAUGAGUCCGCGUCCGAUUAGCUAGUUGGUGAGGUAACGGCUCACCAAGGCGACGAUCGGUAGCUGGUCUGAGAGGGCGAUCGGCCACACUGGGACUGAGACACGGCCCAGACUCCUACGGGAGGCAGCAGUGGGGAAUUUUGCGCAAUGGGCGGAAGCCUGACGCAGCGACGCCGCGUGAGGGAUGACGGCCUUCGGGUUGUAAACCUCUUUCAGCCUCGACGAAGCCCUGUGGGGUGACGGUAGGGGUAGAAGAAGCACCGGCCAACUACGUGCCAGCAGCCGCGGUAAUACGUAGGGUGCAAGCGUUGUCCGGAAUUAUUGGGCGUAAAGAGCUCGUAGGCGGUCUGUCGCGUCGGCUGUGAAAACUCGGGGCUCAACCUUGAGCUUGCAGUCGAUACGGGCAGGCUGGAGUUCGGCAGGGGAGACUGGAAUUCCUGGUGUAGCGGUGAAAUGCGCAGAUAUCAGGAGGAACACCGGUGGCGAAGGCGGGUCUCUGGGCCGAUACUGACGCUGAGGAGCGAAAGCGUGGGGAGCGAACAGGAUUAGAUACCCUGGUAGUCCACGCCGUAAACGUUGGGCGCUAGGUGUGGGAUCCCUUCCACGGGUUCCGUGCCGCAGCUAACGCAUUAAGCGCCCCGCCUGGGGAGUACGGGCCGCAAGGCUAAACUCAAAUGAAUUGACGGG
Molecule: ribosomal RNA, 876 nt
Filed under: uncultured Actinomycetes bacterium
Lineage: Bacteria; Bacillati; Actinomycetota; Actinomycetes
Description: bacterial SSU rRNA
Rfam family: Bacterial small subunit ribosomal RNA
Source: RNAcentral